This 199-nucleotide long non-coding RNA is filed under the name Gossypium barbadense (sea-island cotton). RNAcentral describes it as "long non-coding RNA (GBAR_LNC008115)". Lineage: Eukaryota; Viridiplantae; Streptophyta; Magnoliopsida; Malvales; Malvaceae. The record is from RNAcentral.
AGGCCUUGUGUGAGAUUUAUAUCCGGGCUAAGUCCCAAAGGCAUUCGUACUGAUUUUAUAUCCGGGUUCAGUCCCGAAGGCAUUCGUGCUGAUAUUAUAUCUGGGUUAAGUCCCAAAGGCAUUCGUGUUGGUAUUAUAUCCGGGCUAAGUCCCGAAGGCAUUCGUGCUGAUAGUAUAUCCGGGCUAAGUCCCGAAGGCA